This 73-nucleotide transfer RNA is filed under the name Canis lupus familiaris (dog). It matches the Rfam family "tRNA". Rfam says of the family: Transfer RNA (tRNA) molecules are approximately 80 nucleotides in length. Their secondary structure includes four short double-helical elements and three loops (D, anti-codon, and T loops). Further hydrogen bonds mediate the characteristic L-shaped molecular structure. tRNAs have two regions of fundamental functional importance: the anti-codon, which is responsible for specific mRNA codon recognition, and the 3' end, to which the tRNAs corresponding amino acid is attached (by aminoacyl-tRNA synthetases). tRNAs cope with the degeneracy of the genetic code in two manners: having more than one tRNA (with a specific anti-codon) for a particular amino acid; and 'wobble' base-pairing, i.e. permitting non-standard base-pairing at the 3rd anti-codon position. Lineage: Eukaryota; Metazoa; Chordata; Mammalia; Carnivora; Canidae. RNAcentral also lists the same sequence under 1 other name. The record is from Rfam by way of RNAcentral.
UCCUGGCUGGCUCAGCCGAUGGAGCAUGUGACUCUUGAUCUCAGGGUUGUGAGUUCAAGCCCCACACUAGGUG